Molecule: ribosomal RNA, 595 nt
Filed under: Escherichia coli
Lineage: Bacteria; Pseudomonadati; Pseudomonadota; Gammaproteobacteria; Enterobacterales; Enterobacteriaceae
Description: bacterial SSU rRNA
Rfam family: Bacterial small subunit ribosomal RNA
Source: RNAcentral
GAGUAAUGUCUGGGAAACUGCCUGAUGGAGGGGGAUAACUACUGGAAACGGUAGCUAAUACCGCAUAACGUCGCAAGACCAAAGAGGGGGACCUUCGGGCCUCUUGCCAUCGGAUGUGCCCAGAUGGGAUUAGCUAGUAGGUGGGGUAAAGGCUCACCUAGGCGACGAUCCCUAGCUGGUCUGAGAGGAUGACCAGCCACACUGGAACUGAGACACGGUCCAGACUCCUACGGGAGGCAGCAGUGGGGAAUAUUGCACAAUGGGCGCAAGCCUGAUGCAGCCAUGCCGCGUGUAUGAAGAAGGCCUUCGGGUUGUAAAGUACUUUCAGCGGGGAGGAAGGGAGUAAAGUUAAUACCUUUGCUCAUUGACGUUACCCGCAGAAGAAGCACCGGCUAACUCCGUGCCAGCAGCCGCGGUAAUACGGAGGGUGCAAGCGUUAAUCGGAAUUACUGGGCGUAAAGCGCACGCAGGCGGUUUGUUAAGUCAGAUGUGAAAUCCCCGGGCUCAACCUGGGAACUGCAUCUGAUACUGGCAAGCUUGAGUCUCGUAGAGGGGGGUAGAAUUCCAGGUGUAGCGGUGAAAUGCGUAGAGAUCU